UACGUAGGGUGCAAGCGUUGUCCGGAAUUAUUGGGCGUAAAGGGCUCGUAGGCGGUUUGUCGCGUCGGGAGUGAAAACUCAGGGCUUAACCCUGAGCCUGCUUCCGAUACGGGCAGACUAGAGGUAUGCAGGGGAGAAUGGAAUUCCUGGUGUAGCGGUGAAAUGCGCAGAUAUCAGGAGGAACACCGGUGGCGAAGGCGGUUCUCUGGGCAUGACCUGACGCUGAGGAGCGAAAGUGUGGGGAGCGAACAGG
RNAcentral lists this ribosomal RNA (253 nucleotides) under uncultured bacterium. RNAcentral's name for it is "partial 16S ribosomal RNA". It matches the Rfam family "Bacterial small subunit ribosomal RNA", at positions 524 to 776 of the family's 1533-position model. The record is from RNAcentral.